Oncorhynchus tshawytscha (Chinook salmon) is the source of this 978-nucleotide long non-coding RNA. Lineage: Eukaryota; Metazoa; Chordata; Actinopteri; Salmoniformes; Salmonidae. The record is from Ensembl.
AACCCCAUCUACAUGUCCUCCAACCCCAUCUACACGUCCUCCAACCCCAUCUACACGUCCUCCAACCCCAUCUACACAUCCUCCAACCCCAUCUACACAUCCUCCAACCCCAUCUACACAUCCUACAGCCCCAUCUACACGUCCUCCAACCCCAUCUACACAUCCUCCAACCCCAUCUACACGUCCUCCAACCCCAUCUACACGUCCUCCAACCCCAUCUACACGUCCUCCAACCCCAUCUACACGUCCUCCAACCCCAUCUACACGUCCUCCAACCCCAUCUACACGUCCUCCAACCCAUCUACACGUCCUCCAACCCCAUCCAUGUCCUCCAACCCAUCUACACGUCCUCCAACCCCAUCUACACGUCCUACAACCCCAUCUACACGUCCUCCAACCCCAUCUACACAUCCUACAACCCCAUCUACACGUCCUACACCCCCAUCUACACAUCCUACAACCCCAUCUACACAUCCUACAGCCCCAUCUACACAUCCUCCAACCCCAUCUAUACAUCUACACGUCCUCCAACCCCAUCUACACAUCCUCCAACCCCAUAUACACGUCCUCCAACCCCAUAUACACGUCCUCCAACCCCAUCAACACGUCUUCCAACCCCAUCUACACGUCCUACAACCCCAUCUACACGUCCUACAACCCCAUCUACACGUCAUCCAACCCCAUCUACACGUCCUCCAACCCCAUCUACACAUCCUCCAACCCCAUCUACACAUAUACACACCCUCCAACCCCAUCUACACAUCCUACAACCCCAUCUACAUAUCCUACAGCCCCAUCUACACAUCCUCCAACCCCAUCUACACAUUUACACGUUCUACAACCCCAUCUACACUUCCUCCAACCCCAUCUACACUUCCUCCAACCCCAUCUACACGUCCUCCAACCCCAUCUACAUGUCCUCCAGCCCCAUCUACACAUCCUCCAACCCCAUCUACACGUCCUCCAACCCCAUCUACG